AUGAACGCUGGCGGCGUGCCUAAUACCUGCAAGUCGCGCGAACAGACGAGGAGCUUGCUCCUCUGAUGUUAGCGGCGGACGGGUGAGUAACACGUGGAUAACCUACCUAUAAGACUGGGAUAACUUCGGGAAACCGGAGCUAAUACCGGAUAAUAUAUUGAACCGCAUGGUUCAAUAGUGAAAAACGGUUUUGCUGUCACUUAUAGAUGGAUCCGCGCCGCAUUAGCUAGUUGGUAAGGUAACGGCUUACCAAGGCAACGAUGCGUAGCCGACCUGAGAGGGUGAUCGGCCACACUGGAACUGAGACACGGUCCAGACUCCUACGGGAGGCAGCAGUAGGGAAUCUUCCGCAAUGGGCGAAAGCCUGACGGAGCAACGCCGCGUGAGUGAUGAAGGUCUUCGGAUCGUAAAACUCUGUUAUUAGGGAAGAACAAAUGUGUAAGUAACUAUGCACGUCUUGACGGUACCUAAUCAGAAAGCCACGGCUAACUACGUG
This 496-nucleotide ribosomal RNA is filed under the name uncultured bacterium. Its description in RNAcentral is "partial 16S ribosomal RNA". It matches the Rfam family "Bacterial small subunit ribosomal RNA", at positions 29 to 507 of the family's 1533-position model. The record is from RNAcentral.